Molecule: small RNA, 122 nt
Filed under: Rhizobium fabae
Lineage: Bacteria; Pseudomonadati; Pseudomonadota; Alphaproteobacteria; Hyphomicrobiales; Rhizobiaceae
Description: sRNA Atu_C8
Rfam family: Rhizobiales sRNA Atu_C8
Source: RNAcentral
GGUAAUCGCAACGGUUCUCGUAGUGGUGAUGUCGCGCAUGGGCAGGACGGUGUAACCGUCCGGCAGCUGCCGCCCGUGCGCCGAAAACAAGGUCCCUGACGGGCCUUUUUUUAUGCCCGUCG